AUUGAACGCUGGCGGCAGGCCUAACACAUGCAAGUCGAAUGGUAACAGGAAACAGCUUGCUGUUUCGCUGACGAGUGGCGGACGGGUGAGUAAUGUCUGGGAAACUGCCUGAUGGAGGGGGAUAACUACUGGAAACGGUAGCUAAUACCGCAUAACGUCGCAAGACCAAAGAGGGGGACCUUCGGGCCUCUUGCCAUCAGAUGUGCCCAGAUGGGAUUAGCUAGUAGGUGGGGUAACGGCUCACCUAGGCGACGAUCCCUAGCUGGUCUGAGAGGAUGACCAGCCACACUGGAACUGAGACACGGUCCAGACUCCUACGGGAGGCAGCAGUGGGGAAUAUUGCACAAUGGGCGCAAGCCUGAUGCAGCCAUGCCGCGUGUAUGAAGAAGGCCUUCGGGUUGUAAAGUACUUUCAGCGGGGAAGAAGGGAGUAAAGUUAAUACCUUUGCUCAUUGACGUUACCCGCAGAAGAAGCACCGGCUAACUCCGUG
Molecule: ribosomal RNA, 490 nt
Filed under: uncultured bacterium
Lineage: Bacteria
Description: partial 16S ribosomal RNA
Rfam family: Bacterial small subunit ribosomal RNA
Source: RNAcentral